GACGAACGCUGGCGGCGUGCUUAACACAUGCAAGUCGAACGGAAAGGCCCUGCUUGCAGGGUACUCGAGUGGCGAACGGGUGAGUAACACGUGGGUGAUCUGCCCUGCACUUCGGGAUAAGCCUGGGAAACUGGGUCUAAUACCGGAUAGGAGCCAUUUUUAGUGUGAUGGUUGGAAAGUUUUUUCGGUGUAGGAUGAGCUCGCGGCCUAUCAGCUUGUUGGUGGGGUAAUGGCCUACCAAGGCGGCGACGGGUAGCCGGCCUGAGAGGGUGGACGGCCACAUUGGGACUGAGAUACGGCCCAGACUCCUACGGGAGGCAGCAGUGGGGAAUAUUGCACAAUGGGCGCAAGCCUGAUGCAGCGACGCCGCGUGGGGGAUGACGGCCUUCGGGUUGGAAACUCAUUUCGCUAGGGACGAAGCUUUUUGUGACGGUACCUAGAUAAGAAGCACCGGCUAACUACGUG
This 465-nucleotide ribosomal RNA is filed under the name uncultured bacterium. Its description in RNAcentral is "partial 16S ribosomal RNA". It matches the Rfam family "Bacterial small subunit ribosomal RNA", at positions 28 to 507 of the family's 1533-position model. The record is from RNAcentral.